RNAcentral lists this long non-coding RNA (892 nucleotides) under Mus musculus (house mouse). RNAcentral describes it as "Hand2, opposite strand 1". The record is from RNAcentral. Lineage: Eukaryota; Metazoa; Chordata; Mammalia; Rodentia; Muridae.
AAGAGUCUGGAGGUGGCGGUAUGGAAUCCCAUUAAGGUGCGAUUGGGAGUGAGCCGAGUCUCUUUGACCAGGCUAGAGCGCCAGCGCUCCUCUGACCCGGCACACUUUGGCAAAGUUGCAGUGGCCUGUUUGCUUAGGCACUGAAGUGGAUGACCCAAGUUAGGAUGACAACUUGCAGAGAACGCGGAUGAGACCUUCAGUUUGUGCCCACACUCAUUUGCAGCAACCCUAACAGAGAUUGCGAAGAUUUUCAAAGUGGGGCACCUCGAUUUCUCGAAUCUGUGGUGUGGCGAAUAUCCGUGUUCCUCCUGCUUAACUAGCCUGUUUGAAGGCACAGUUCAUUCUCGAGCAAUUCGUCACCUCCUGGGGGUCUUCUCUUCCCGUCUACAGGAGAGUGUGACUUCAGAAAGAACUUCGGAUUGGCCAAGGCCAUUAAAGCUGGUGAGCGACUUGGAAGUCAUUUAGAAAGGAACAGACCUUCAACCUCAAGCCUUUGCGGGCACUGGGAAAGUGUCUUCCCAAUCAAUCUGGCUUGCAGGCGGCAGGACCAACUCUGACCUGGCUUAUCUUGUACCCAUCCUAAAUACACCAAACUCAAGAGGUAGCCAGGGCCGCCUCAACACCGAGGCAGGUCUGAUUCUAUUUAUUCUAAAGACAGAGUUGGAGAUGGGCUACCAUUGGUGUUGAUUGAGAUGACAAGCAGUCACCUGAGCCCAUACAGCUGUGGGAGAAAGUGCUUGCUGCCAAGCUUGAUGACCUAAAUUGAAUACCUGGAACCUACACGACAGAAAGAGAGAGCUGACUGCUGAAAGAUGUCCUCAGAUCUUCACAUGUGCACAGUGGCACCUAUCCAACCAUGCACAUAGUAUAUUAAAAAUUAUUUUUUAAAAAA